AUAUCAAUAAGCGGAGGAAAAGAAACUAACAAGGAUUCCCCCAGUAACGGCGAGUGAAGUGGGAAAAGCUCAACUUUGAAAUCUGGCUGUUUUACAGUCCGAGUUGUAGUCUCGAGAAGUGUUUUCCGCGUUAAACCGUGUAUGAGUCUGUUGGAACACAGCGUCAUAGAGGGUGAGAACCCCGUUCAUGACACGGCUUUUAAUGCUUUGUGAUACACUUUCGAUGAGUCGAGUUGUUUGGGAAUGCAGCUCAAAUUGGGUGGUAAAUUCCAUCUAAAGCUAAAUAUUGGCGAGAGACCGAUAGCGCACAAGUA
RNAcentral lists this ribosomal RNA (314 nucleotides) under uncultured eukaryote. Its description in RNAcentral is "partial large subunit ribosomal RNA". It matches the Rfam family "Eukaryotic large subunit ribosomal RNA", at positions 40 to 350 of the family's 3401-position model. The record is from RNAcentral.